UAUGCCUAAAACGGUUCGAGAGUGUCAUAGUAGCCGUCAACAGUGGCUUAGAAAUAACAUAAAUAGGGUUUUGGGUUGUCCAAGGGUAUUCUGGUAAUUUGUGGUUGCUUCUGGGCUUCAGUCGGUCAUAAAAUAUGCUCAGCCCACGUUAUGGCAUCACUGUCGAUCGAUGGCAAGGGUGCACCAUCGAUCGACAGUCUUUCAUCUCCUCGACAACUUCCUCUCGCGAGCCAGACUGACCACUCUUCAGUAAAACGGACAUAACUUCUGCUAUAGGAUGCUAAUUGACCUCAAACUGGUGGCAUUGGAAAGAUAACUCAAAGAUCUAUCUUGUUUUAAAUAAUGGAUGCAAUAUAAUGGUAGGAAAUUCUCCAUCCAUAGCUAGACAUCUGACGCGUCUGUGCAGCUCUACACUCAAAAGGCUCCAAAAGACACCAAAAUCACC
This 445-nucleotide long non-coding RNA is filed under the name Brassica napus (rape). RNAcentral's name for it is "long non-coding RNA (BNAP_LNC018455)". The record is from RNAcentral. Lineage: Eukaryota; Viridiplantae; Streptophyta; Magnoliopsida; Brassicales; Brassicaceae.